AACGAACGCUGGCGGCGUGGAUAAGACAUGCAAGUCGAACGAGAGAAUUGCUAGCUUGCUAAUAAUUCUCUAGUGGCGCACGGGUGAGUAACACGUGAGUAACCUGCCCCCGAGAGCGGGAUAGCCCUGGGAAACUGGGAUUAAUACCGCAUAGUAUCGAAAGAUUAAAGCAGCAAUGCGCUUGGGGAUGGGCUCGCGGCCUAUUAGUUAGUUGGUGAGGUAACGGCUCACCAAGGCGAUGACGGGUAGCCGGUCUGAGAGGAUGUCCGGCCACACUGGAACUGAGACACGGUCCAGACACCUACGGGUGGCAGCAGUCGAGAAUCAUUCACAAUGGGGGAAACCCUGAUGGUGCGACGCCGCGUGGGGGAAUGAAGGUCUUCGGAUUGUAAACCCCUGUCAUGUGGGAGCAAAUUAAAAAGAUAGUACCACAAGAGGAAGAGACGGCUAACUCUGUGCCAGCAGCCGCGGUAAUACAGAGGUCUCAAGCGUUGUUCGGAAUCACUGGGCGUAAAGCGUGCGUAGGCUGUUUCGUAAGUCGUGUGUGAAAGGCGCGGGCUCAACCCGCGGACGGCACAUGAUACUGCGAGACUAGAGUAAUGGAGGGGGAACCGGAAUUCUCGGUGUAGCAGUGAAAUGCGUAGAUAUCGAGAGGAACACUCGUGGCGAAGGCGGGUUCCUGGACAUUAACUGACGCUGAGGCACGAAGGCCAGGGGAGCGAAAGGGAUUAGAUACCCCUGUAGUCCUGGCAGUAAACGGUGCACGCUUGGUGUGCGGGGAAUCGACCCCCUGCGUGCCGGAGCUAACGCGUUAAGCGUGCCGCCUGGGGAGUACGGUCGCAAGAUUAAAACUCAAAGAAAUUGACGGGGACCCGCACAAGCGGUGGAGUAUGUGGCUUAAUUCGAUGCAACGCGAAGAACCUUACCUGGGCUUGACAUGUAAUGAACAACAUGUGAAAGCAUGCGACUCUUCGGAGGCGUUACACAGGUGCUGCAUGGCCGUCGUCAGCUCGUGUCGUGAGAUGUUUGGUUAAGUCCAGCAACGAGCGCAACCCCUGUUGCCAGUUACCAGCACGUGAAGGUGGGGACUCUGGCGAGACUGCCCAGAUCAACUGGGAGGAAGGUGGGGACGACGUCAGGUCAGUAUGGCCCUUAUGCCCAGGGCUGCACACGUACUACAAUGCCCAGUACAGAGGGGGCCGAAGCCGCGAGGCGGAGGAAAUCCUAAAAACUGGGCCCAGUUCGGACUGUAGGCUGCAACCCGCCUACACGAAGCCGGAAUCGCUAGUAAUCGCGGAUCAGAAUGCCGCGGUGAAUACGUUCCCGGGUCUUGUACACACCGCCCGUCACACCAUGGGAGUCGGAAAUGCCCGAAGUCAGUGACCUAACCUUUAAGGGAGGAGCUGCCGAAGGUGGAGCCGGUAACUGGGGUG
This 1433-nucleotide ribosomal RNA is filed under the name uncultured bacterium. Its description in RNAcentral is "bacterial SSU rRNA". It matches the Rfam family "Bacterial small subunit ribosomal RNA". The record is from RNAcentral.